This 627-nucleotide ribosomal RNA is filed under the name uncultured bacterium SY6-14. RNAcentral describes it as "bacterial SSU rRNA". It matches the Rfam family "Bacterial small subunit ribosomal RNA", at positions 44 to 670 of the family's 1533-position model. The record is from RNAcentral.
AUGCCUCACACAUGCAAGUCGAACGGCANCACGGGAGCAAUCCUGGUGGCGAGUGGCGAACGGGUGAGUAAUAUAUCGGAACGUGCCCAGUCGUGGGGGAUAACGCAGCGAAAGCUGUGCUAAUACCGCAUACGAUCUAUGGAUGAAAGCGGGGGAUCGCAAGACCUCGCGCGAUUGGAGCGGCCGAUAUCAGAUUAGCUAGUUGGUGGGGUAAAAGCCCACCAAGGCGACGAUCUGUAGCUGGUCUGAGAGGACGACCAGCCACACUGGAACUGAGACACGGUCCAGACUCCUACGGGAGGCAGCAGUGGGGAAUUUUGGACAAUGGGCGAAAGCCUGAUCCAGCAAUGCCGCGUGCAGGACGAAGCCUUCGGGUUGUAAACUGCUUUUGUACGGAACGAAACGGUCUCUUUUAAUAAAAGGGGCUAAUGACGGUACCGUAAGAAUAAGCACCGGCUAACUACGUGCCAGCAGCCGCGGUAAUACGUAGGGUGCGAGCGUUAAUCGGAAUUACUGGGCGUAAAGCGUGCCCAGCGGUUAUAUAAGACAAAUGUGAAAUCCCGGCUCAACCUGGGACCUGCAUUUGUGACUGUAUANCUAGANUCCGGNAAAGGGGGAUGGAAUUCC